AGAGUUUGAUCAUGGCUCAGGACGAACGCUGGCGGCGUGCUUAACACAUGCAAGUCGUGGGCACCAGCAAUGGUGACCGGCGAACGGGUGCGUAACACGUGAGCGACCUUCCGAUUUGUGGGGGAUAGCCGGCCCAACGGCCGGGUAAUACCGCAUACGUCAAGCGAACUGCAUGGCUCGCUUGGGAAACCUCCGGGGCA
RNAcentral lists this ribosomal RNA (200 nucleotides) under uncultured bacterium. RNAcentral describes it as "partial 16S ribosomal RNA". It matches the Rfam family "Bacterial small subunit ribosomal RNA", at positions 8 to 219 of the family's 1533-position model. The record is from RNAcentral.